RNAcentral lists this transfer RNA (77 nucleotides) under candidate division WWE3 bacterium. RNAcentral describes it as "tRNA-Ile". It matches the Rfam family "tRNA". Rfam says of the family: Transfer RNA (tRNA) molecules are approximately 80 nucleotides in length. Their secondary structure includes four short double-helical elements and three loops (D, anti-codon, and T loops). Further hydrogen bonds mediate the characteristic L-shaped molecular structure. tRNAs have two regions of fundamental functional importance: the anti-codon, which is responsible for specific mRNA codon recognition, and the 3' end, to which the tRNAs corresponding amino acid is attached (by aminoacyl-tRNA synthetases). tRNAs cope with the degeneracy of the genetic code in two manners: having more than one tRNA (with a specific anti-codon) for a particular amino acid; and 'wobble' base-pairing, i.e. permitting non-standard base-pairing at the 3rd anti-codon position. Lineage: Bacteria; candidate division WWE3. The record is from RNAcentral.
GGGCGUGUAGCUCAGUCGGUUAGAGCGCCACACUGAUAAUGUGGAGGUCCCUGGUUCGAGUCCAGGCAUGCCCACCA